UGCACGAUUUUUGUGGGCCGUCUUUCCCACUCCACCACUGAAGAAACUCUUCGCCAGGCUAUGAGCAUAUAUGGAAGAGUAAAGAACUUGAGAUUAGUCAGACACAUUGAGGAAACGAUGGAGAAGUGUCAGUCUUCCUUCUGAAACAGAGGAAACGAUGGAAACAUGGCGAAUUGGCAUUUCAGAUUGCUGAGGAGUUCGCCUGCCAGUAUGUUAGCUUGCCCUUUGAUUGCCAGAAGGUUCCCCAUAUCGUUUCUGUUGUUGAAGUUUAGUCUAGUUCUAGGUUGUUGAACUUGGUUUGAUGCUAAAUUCAGGCUGUAGUCUUGUUUGGUUCUGUAUCAGCUUAUGCUGUUUGUUGAUCUUCUUGUAUACGAACUACAUUUGGAAUUGUGUGCUGAAAUAUUUGUAAAUAUAAUGGCUGUUACACGUUUGCUUUAUGAUUCAUUAAACGAGUAUGUUAGCUUCGUUUAGCUGGUUGAUUUGGAAAUAUACAUCUUUUUUUAUCUCA
Coffea arabica (coffee) is the source of this 508-nucleotide long non-coding RNA. RefSeq lists it as uncharacterized. The record is from RefSeq and is a predicted model, not a curated record. Lineage: Eukaryota; Viridiplantae; Streptophyta; Magnoliopsida; Gentianales; Rubiaceae.